UCCUCCUCUUGCAGCUCACUGCCGCUGCCGUUGCCAUUCGCAUCUCGCCGGAGCCGAGUCCUUUACUGGAGUCCCACGACACCGGUGAACCUCCUGUGCCUUCUUUUCUUCGAGAAAUAGGACCCCCUCGUCCUUAGGCACCUCUAUGACAUGAAUGUUUUUGCCCUAGGAUCGCCGGAGCAACGUCCCGUUUGACCCUGCGUCACCGGAGUUCGCCGGGGCACGGGGACUUUGCCGCCUUCGUCUGCUCCGUCCGCUCGUCGCCGCCAACCGCCGUGACCACCAUUCGGCCGCCACCGUCGAUCCCUGCCCUCCCGACCACCUCGCCAACACAGGAGUCCACCGGAGCCGCCGCCCUACCGACGUCGAUCUUCUCCAUGAAGCUGAAACGAGCUCCUCGUGUGUGUAGGCACUCGCCUCGCUCGUUCUGUAGAUUAGUUUGUUUUUUUAGAUCGAAGGGGUAUUUUGGUUAACCGUGGUUUCCCUAAACCGUACGGUUUAUUUUAAGCUGAACGUUAGUUUUUCUUUUAGUUUAGCCAAACUGGGUCGUUUUAUCUAAAGAAUGAACUUCCGCCGCAUAACAUCCGCAGCGCGCGCAGAUAACCAACCCGAGCCGGCAACGUCGCGCUCUAUGCACGAACGUGCAGUUUCUAGCAUUUUUAGAAAAAUGCUGCCGUAGCAUUUUUUUCGGGAUUUGUUUCAAAUCUUCAAACACCCAUAAUUUUUUAACCGUAGAUCCAAACGAGAUGAGACGAGUGGUUAGUUUUUCGCCUCGAAUAGCUUUAUCCAUAUAACCUAACAUUGCAAAAUUUUGCCAGUUCAAAUUUAAAUUUAUUUCAGAUUUGAAUUUAAACUUCAUUAGGCUAUAUCUCUUAAAUGGUAUGUCCGUUUGAAAUGAUUCUUUUUACACCGCGUCAGACGAACUAAAUCCUAGGACAUGGGCCUUGCCAUAGUAUAUUUUAAAAAAUUAGUUGUUGUUCAUCAUAAUAUUACUAGUAUGGCUUGUAGGCACAUUAGUGCACGCCGCGGAUUUUGGGCAAUGUUUUCACUGUUGGUUUUAUACUUUGAAAAACUUUUAUGCUAACAUCGUGUGUUGGAUUUUAUUUGGCUUUUAUGAAUAUUUU
This 1124-nucleotide long non-coding RNA is filed under the name Hordeum vulgare. RNAcentral describes it as "long non-coding RNA (HVUL_LNC012089)". Lineage: Eukaryota; Viridiplantae; Streptophyta; Magnoliopsida; Poales; Poaceae. The record is from RNAcentral.